Molecule: long non-coding RNA, 896 nt
Filed under: Gallus gallus (chicken)
Lineage: Eukaryota; Metazoa; Chordata; Aves; Galliformes; Phasianidae
Source: RNAcentral
CACAAUCCUUUAGACAGUUUCUGAAUAUGCUGGCUGCUGCAUUGCCUUUCACUAGAACUGUAUCAAUCAGUUCCCUUGCUUGCAAUGGUGUCUGAGUCUUUUGCUUAAUGACAUCAUGCUCAAGUUCUGUUAUCACUUUAGCUGAAAGUAAACUCCCAAGGAUUGGAAGUACUGAGGUUAAACGCUGGAAUAAAGCCAUCCGAUUCUUCCGGAUUAAGGACAAAUCAUCUGAUGCCACUUCCUCAAACUGUCUCUCUUUCUCUUCCUCCCUCUUCUCAUCUUCAGCGGUGAGCAGAUCAGACACAAGAUCAUUAACAGUCUUGUAGUUUUCUUCAGUGGCUAGAAUUUUACUUUGCACUGUUUGCUUUAUUAGACGCCUACUGAAUCCCAUCUCCAAGGCAGCUUUAACUACAGGAGUGUUCAUCAUGAUUGCAUCUUCUGAAGGACUCUCUCCAGGCUCGAAAUGAAUAAUUGGAUCCAUGUUUUCAUCUACGGGUGUAUCAGAAGUUGACAGGAGCUGUUCAAGAAGAUGAGGAAACCUGGCCUGAACUUGACUUACAAACUCUCCUCCUUUCACACGAAGCAGAUACUCACACCUCGGAAACCACUUUGCAUGCUCAAUCCAUGGAUCAUCUCCAGAUUCCCAGCACCUUAGCCCACCAUCACAGCAAAAACACUUGACAUCAUCGUUGCGGCCUACAUAGUAAAAACCAGCAUCUGCAAGCUGUUCAGGCUGAACUGGAAUCCGAGUUGGCCAGUUAAUGAAUGUUUUAACACGGGCUUCAUGGGUUUGCAUGGUCACAUUGGAAACAUUGAAACUUGGUUGGUCUCGCAUGAGGUUUUCCACAAAAGGGCAGUUAGGAAAGUGCCUCCGAUGCUCUGACAUGGCAUUAUCU